Molecule: ribosomal RNA, 1437 nt
Filed under: uncultured organism
Description: SSU rRNA
Rfam family: Bacterial small subunit ribosomal RNA
Source: RNAcentral
GAACGCUGGCGGCGCGCCUAACACAUGCAAGUCGAACGGACGAAGAGGUGCUUGCACCUCCGAGUUAGUGGCGGACGGGUGAGUAACACGUGAGCAACCUGCCUUACAGAGGGGGAUAACGUCCUGAAAAGGACGCUAAUACCGCAUAAAGUCAAGAUGUGGCAUCGCAUCAUGACCAAAGGAGCAAUCCGCUGAAAGAUGGGCUCGCGUCUGAUUAGCUAGUUGGAGUGGUAACGGCACACCAAGGCGACGAUCAGUAGCCGGACUGAGAGGUUGAACGGCCACAUUGGGACUGAGACACGGCCCAGACUCCUACGGGAGGCAGCAGUGGGGAAUAUUGGGCAAUGGGGGAAACCCUGACCCAGCGACGCCGCGUGAGGGAUGAAGGUUUUCGGAUUGUAAACCUCUGUCUUCGGGGACGAAAGAAUGACGGUACCCGAGGAGGAAGCCACGGCUAACUACGUGCCAGCAGCCGCGGUAAUACGUAGGUGGCAAGCGUUGUCCGGAAUUACUGGGUGUAAAGGGAGCGUAGGCGGGAAGGCAAGUUGAAUGUUAAAUCUACCGGCUCAACCGGUAGCCGCGUUCAAAACUGUUUUUCUUGAGUGAAGUAGAGGCAGGCGGAAUUCCUAGUGUAGCGGUGAAAUGCGUAGAUAUUAGGAGGAACACCAGUGGCGAAGGCGGCCUGCUGGGCUUUUACUGACGCUGAGGCUCGAAAGCGUGGGUAGCAAACAGGAUUAGAUACCCUGGUAGUCCACGCCGUAAACGAUGAUUGCUAGGUGUGGGGGGUCUGACCCCUUCCGUGCCGGAGUUAACACAAUAAGCAAUCCACCUGGGGAGUACGACCGCAAGGUUGAAACUCAAAGGAAUUGACGGGGGCCCGCACAAGCAGUGGAGUAUGUGGUUUAAUUCGAAGCAACGCGAAGAACCUUACCAGGUCUUGACAUCCUGCUAACGAAGUAGAGAUACAUUAGGUGCCCUUCGGGGAAAGCAGAGACAGGUGGUGCAUGGUUGUCGUCAGCUCGUGUCGUGAGAUGUUGGGUUAAGUCCCGCAACGAGCGCAACCCUUACUGAUAGUUGCUACGCAAGAGCACUCUAUCGGGACUGCCGUUGACAAAACGGAGGAAGGUGGGGAUGACGUCAAAUCAUCAUGCCCCUUAUGACCUGGGCUACACACGUACUACAAUGGCCGUUAACAGAGGGAAGCAAUACCGCGAGGAGGAGCAAACCCCCAAAAACGGUCUCAGUUCGGAUUGCAGGCUGAAACCCGCCUGUAUGAAGCUGGAAUUGCUAGUAAUCGCAGAUCAGCAUGCUGCGGUGAAUACGUUCCCGGGCCUUGUACACACCGCCCGUCACACCAUGAGAGCCGGUAACACCCAAAGUCAGUAGUCUAACCGCAAGGGGGACGCUGCCGAAGGUGGGGCUGGUGAUUGGGGUGAA